CAGGUCCUGUGGUGUAUCGAGGUGAUUCGAUUGGCUGUCGAGCAGGUGUUGACGAGAUACGAGAUGGCAAAAUUCCAAUUUUCUUCUCCCUCAAUGGACAGCUAGAGGUUCAAAUUUUGCUGGAGUUAGGAUCUGAUGAAUUAGAUCUUUACCCUUUUGUUGGAAUGAAGCAUGGAGGAAUUAGAGUACUAGCGAAGAUGUGUCCAGGGGAGGUCAAGUAUUCAGAAAGACCGCAGGAAAGCAUGAAAAGAAUUGAAAGAACCAUUGAAAUUCAAAAUAAGAGGAUAGAACGCAUGGAAAGUACUUUGUCAGAGAUUCUAAACAUUGUCAAGGUUAAUAAGGAAAAACAGUGAAACGGAUCUAUAAGGCUAUCCGUAGACGAGAUAUACUUAACUAGAAUUCGCUAUUGCAAAUUCACCUCGGUUUGGACCAAACUUUUGUUGCUUUAUGUAUUUUUUAGACCAAAAUAUAUAUAGGUAUCUCUUCGUUAUACUCAGGAUGAAAUUACUGCAGCUCUUCUCCAAAUUGAUGAAAGUUGCAGUGGCAGUUAGAACAGAAGAGAAAAGAAACAUAUCAGUCAAUAUAUGGGUCAAUAAAUCAUGCUUCAUCA
Molecule: long non-coding RNA, 610 nt
Organism: Stylophora pistillata
Lineage: Eukaryota; Metazoa; Cnidaria; Anthozoa; Scleractinia; Pocilloporidae
Source: RefSeq, a predicted model, not a curated record